GGUUGUAGCUCAGUGGUAGAGCACUUGCCUGGCAUGUGUGAGGCACUGGGUUCAAUUCUCAGCACCG
RNAcentral lists this transfer RNA (67 nucleotides) under Marmota monax (woodchuck). RNAcentral describes it as "tRNA.Ala". It matches the Rfam family "tRNA", at positions 6 to 65 of the family's 71-position model. From Rfam's summary of the family: Transfer RNA (tRNA) molecules are approximately 80 nucleotides in length. Their secondary structure includes four short double-helical elements and three loops (D, anti-codon, and T loops). Lineage: Eukaryota; Metazoa; Chordata; Mammalia; Rodentia; Sciuridae. The record is from RNAcentral.